UGGUUCUUAUGCUGUGUGCCUUGGACUCU
RNAcentral lists this non-coding RNA (29 nucleotides) under Mus musculus (house mouse). Lineage: Eukaryota; Metazoa; Chordata; Mammalia; Rodentia; Muridae. The record is from RNAcentral.